UGUGUGCGUGCGGAGUGACAGUAGCGAGCGUGAGGCAGUGUUCGCGGUUGCAAGGUAGCAACGAUGGAGGAUCAGGAGGUUGCAGCACGCGCGAGCAGAGGCGUUGGAUGGCGCUGUUGUGGAUGAAUCCACUCCAGAGUAGAGUAGACAAGUACUGGAGUUUCGUUGCCUCCAUCGGCGUCGUCCUUGAGUUUCAGAAUAUGGGAAAUACAAGACCGCACAGAGUGAGCAAGGCGGAGCCACUGACAGACAGCUGAUUCGGGAGGAA
Penaeus indicus is the source of this 268-nucleotide long non-coding RNA. RefSeq lists it as uncharacterized. The transcript is spliced from 3 exons. NCBI's taxonomy places the organism in Eukaryota, Metazoa, Arthropoda, Malacostraca, Decapoda, Penaeidae. The record is from RefSeq and is a predicted model, not a curated record.